UACGGGGGGAGCAAGCGUUGUUCGGAAUUAUUGGGCGUAAAGGGCGCGUAGGCGGUUUGACAAGUCUGAUGUGAAAUCUAUGGGCUCAACCCAUAGCCUGCAUUAGAAACUGUCGGGCUUGAGUAUGGGAGAGGUGAGUGGAAUUUCCGGUGUAGCGGUGAAAUGCGUAGAUAUCUGGAGGAACACCGGUGGCGAAGGCGGCGUCCUGGACCAACACUGACACUGAGGAGCGAAAGCCAGGGGAGCAAACGGG
RNAcentral lists this ribosomal RNA (253 nucleotides) under uncultured bacterium. RNAcentral describes it as "partial 16S ribosomal RNA". It matches the Rfam family "Bacterial small subunit ribosomal RNA", at positions 524 to 776 of the family's 1533-position model. The record is from RNAcentral.